Molecule: long non-coding RNA, 1779 nt
Filed under: Bemisia tabaci
Lineage: Eukaryota; Metazoa; Arthropoda; Insecta; Hemiptera; Aleyrodidae
Description: lncRNA ENSSSA2NGG006156
Source: RNAcentral
AUGUUAUACAAGCGACAAACCUUCCCUUUUCCUCAGAGUUUCAAGAGUACGUUAAUGUUUAAAUUUGAGAAGAUGAGAAGAAGGAAAAAAACGAAAAAAGAAGUAGAAAAAAAUAACAAAUCAAUCAUUUGGCAGGUAAAGGAUCUCACCUAUUAUUACAGAUGGUCGGACUCAGGGAGAGGAACUUAUAGGGAGAUGAUGUCGAAGGAGGUCCUUUCCUUUCCGUUGAGGGCGAUGACGUCGAAGACGACGCGUUCCUUUCCGUUGAGGGAGACGAUGUCGACAACAUUACGUUCCUUUCCGUUGAGGGCGACGAUGUCAACGGUGUUGCGUUCUUUGCCGUUUAAGGCGACGAUGUCCAUGGCGUUGCGCUCUUUGCCGUUGAGGGCGACGAUGUCAAUGACGUUCUUCUCUUGUCCGUACAUAUUGCUUCUGACUUUGUACGCUUCUAACAAGCUUAUUCUACUCAAACCACUCCAAACCCCAAACUCCAAAAUGUACGGACAAGAGAAGAACGUCAUUGACAUCGUCGCCCUCAACGGCAAAGAGCGCAACGCCAUGGACAUCGUCGCCUUAAACGGCAAAGAACGCAACACCGUUGACAUCGUCGCCCUCAACGGAAAGGAACGUAAUGUUGUCGACAUCGUCUCCCUCAACGGAAAGGAACGCGUUGUUUUCGACGUCAUCGCCCUCAACGGAAAGGAAAGGACUUCCUUCGACAUCAUCUCCCUGUAAAUUGCAACCCCUUUGUUCUCUUUCCAGCCUUAAGUCGGCAUCUAUCACAUGGCUUCCCCUCAACAACAUCCGAGGCUGGACUCCACCGCAUCAGCACUCCCCAUCUCUCCGCUCCCUUUAUCUCUCUCUUUCUCGCACUUACACAUCCACUCGCACGGCAAUAAGUUUAACUUGUUAAUAUUUAAUCAUAAUAUGUGUAUAUCAUAAUCAAUAGCUGAUAAGAAUAAAUUUGGUUAAGAACAAAGUAUGAUCUUGAUUUCGUUGUCACUAUCCUCUGACAAAAGCUUUUAGAAAAAUGAAUUUCAUGAGUGAGCACCAUAAACUUCAAAGUUUGAUAAAGACUAUUAUGAACUCUGAGAAAUCAAUUUUGGUGCUAAAACAUUGGUGUCUAUACAGAUCACAAUAAUUGAGCUGCCAUUUUCAGAAGUUAUGCACUCCAAGACACCACUUUAAAAGUUGUGUGUUUCUCUCAUUAUUCCACAAGAGAAUCUCUUCAUGUCCUUUUUAUCAAAAUCUUAGAAAGUUUUAUUUUAUAUUUGAGAAAAACUCAUUGAAAUUUUUGCAUAAACUUGUAAAUUUUUUCGAGUAAGUUAGAAAAUAAACUACCUGCGGCAAACUGACAUGCGGCGUAUCUCCUACUUUUAGUGAAUAAAUUGUAAGGAUUCAAUUGGUUGUCAAUAACAAUCACUAACUUAAAACAAUCAAUAUGCGUGCUCAUAAAUGACGUUAAAUGAAAGAGUCAGAGCCAAAAGGGUGUACUUGCAUUGCAACGUUGCGAAGUCUCACCCGGUAAUAAUUGAUUCCCUUAAGAACGAUUGCAAAAAAAAGGUUUAAAUGUUUUUGUGAAUUUUCUUAAUUUUUAACAGAAAUUUCCCGCGAUUUUCUGUGUGAAACAUUCGCCUCCCUAGUAAAAGUGAGUCAGCCUGACGUCAGGCUAUGUUUCAUAAACUACCCUGAAUCUGACUGAUUCCGAAUGACACCCGUCUGACAUCAGCUUGAAUCAGUCUGACUUAGAGUAGUUUAUGAAACAUUUAGCCUGACGUC